AUGGACCGGUUCGACCCCGGCGCGCCGCCGCCGUUCGAGCUGGCGGACACCCACGCCGCCAUCCCCAAGCACUGCCAGAUGCGAUUAUCUGCAGGUCAGUCAGCCGUGUCAGCCUCAUGUACCCACCACGAGAUGAAAGAUGGAUUUGGAGAAGGGAGGGAGCAGGAGGAGAAGAGGAAGAAGACACCGUACCACCUCCAUGCACCUCCAAUUUCUCUAUCCUUUUCUUGCAGAAUAGGGAUGGACAAUUGGUCAAUAUACCGAACGGAUACAUUCACUGGAAAUGAGGGGCUAUUGAUGUUGUGGGCUUGA
This 312-nucleotide ribosomal RNA is filed under the name Triticum aestivum (bread wheat). RNAcentral's name for it is "partial small subunit ribosomal RNA". The record is from RNAcentral. Lineage: Eukaryota; Viridiplantae; Streptophyta; Magnoliopsida; Poales; Poaceae.